ACGUAGGGGGCAAGCGUUAUCCGGAAUUACUGGGCGUAAAGCGCGCGCAGGCGGUUCUUUAAGCGUGAGGUGAAAGGUAAUAGCUCAACCCCUGUAAGCCUUCGAUACUGGAGGACUUGAGUGUCGGAGAGGGAAGUGGAAUUCCCGGUGUAGCGGUGAAAUGCGUAGAUAUUGGGAGGAACACCAGUGGCGAAGGCGGCUUUCUGGACUAUAACUGACGCUAAUGUGCGAAAGCUUGGGGAGCAAACAG
This 250-nucleotide ribosomal RNA is filed under the name uncultured prokaryote. Its description in RNAcentral is "partial 16S rRNA". It matches the Rfam family "Bacterial small subunit ribosomal RNA", at positions 525 to 775 of the family's 1533-position model. The record is from RNAcentral.